UUCGUUUGCAUUGGCUAUGCAGGUGCAUUGUAGAUCAUGUGUAGUAUCUGUUCUUAUCAGUUUAAUAUCUGAUACGUCCCUUAGCUGGGGACCAUAUAUUAAAUUGAUUUUUGGAGCAGGGAGAUGGAAUAGGGGCUUGCUCCAUCCACUCCACGCAUCGACCUGGUAUUGCAGUAUCUCUGGGAAUAGAAAUUUUU
Small nuclear RNA from Carcharodon carcharias (great white shark), 197 nucleotides. RefSeq annotates it as U2 spliceosomal RNA. The record is from RefSeq and is a predicted model, not a curated record. NCBI's taxonomy places the organism in Eukaryota, Metazoa, Chordata, Chondrichthyes, Lamniformes, Lamnidae. The transcript has a single exon.